UACGGAGGAUCCGAGCGUUAUCCGGAUUUAUUGGGUUUAAAGGGUGCGCAGGCGGGAGAUUAAGUCGGCGGUGAAAUUUUGCAGCUCAACUGUAAAAGUGCCUUCGAAACUGGUUUCCUUGAGUGUAGAUGAAGUAGGCGGAAUUCGUGGUGUAGCGGUGAAAUGCUUAGAUAUCACGAGGAACUCCGAUUGCGCAGGCAGCUUACUAAACUACUACUGACGCUCAGGCGCGAAGGCGUGGGGAUCAAACAGGAUUAGAUACCCCUGUAGU
Molecule: ribosomal RNA, 271 nt
Filed under: uncultured prokaryote
Description: partial 16S ribosomal RNA
Rfam family: Bacterial small subunit ribosomal RNA
Source: RNAcentral